CACGUAGGGGGCAAGCGUUGUCCGGAUUUAUUGGGCGUAAAGAGCUCGUAGGUGGUUCGGUAAGUCGGGUGUGAAACCUCCAGGCUCAACCUGGAGACGCCACCCGAUACUGCUGUGGCUAGAGUUCGGUAGGGGAGACUGGAAUUCCUGGUGUAGCGGUGAAAUGCGCAGAUAUCAGGAGGAACACCGGUGGCGAAGGCGGGUCUCUGGGCCGAUACUGACGCUGAGGAGCGAAAGCGUGGGGAGCGAACAGG
Molecule: ribosomal RNA, 254 nt
Filed under: uncultured bacterium
Lineage: Bacteria
Description: partial 16S ribosomal RNA
Rfam family: Bacterial small subunit ribosomal RNA
Source: RNAcentral